Molecule: ribosomal RNA, 162 nt
Filed under: Croton stellatopilosus
Lineage: Eukaryota; Viridiplantae; Streptophyta; Magnoliopsida; Malpighiales; Euphorbiaceae
Description: 5.8S ribosomal RNA
Rfam family: 5.8S ribosomal RNA
About the family: 5.8S ribosomal RNA (5.8S rRNA) is a component of the large subunit of the eukaryotic ribosome. It is transcribed by RNA polymerase I as part of the 45S precursor that also contains 18S and 28S rRNA. Functionally, it is thought that 5.8S rRNA may be involved in ribosome translocation.
Source: RNAcentral
AACGACUCUCGGCAACGGAUAUCUCGGCUCUCGCAUCGAUGAAGAACGCAGCGAAAUGCGAUACUUGGUGUGAAUUGCAGAAUCCCGCGAACCAUCGAGUUUUUGAACGCAAGUUGCGCCCAAAGCCKUCMGGCCGAGGGCACGUCUGCCUGGGUGUCACGC